Molecule: long non-coding RNA, 551 nt
Filed under: Lathyrus oleraceus (garden pea)
Lineage: Eukaryota; Viridiplantae; Streptophyta; Magnoliopsida; Fabales; Fabaceae
Description: Pisum sativum (pea) long non-coding RNA (PSAT_LNC001443)
Source: RNAcentral
UGAUUGAUUUAAUCCCGUUUAAAUUAAUUAAAUGAUCUAUAAGGGGCAACUUUGCCAUUUUAAAAUUGUUUGUGCUCCUUUGAGUUAACCUGAACCGUCGAUUCGAAUUUAAUCAAAGUUUUAGAUGCAUUAUCCUCACUUUCUCUUAUUAACCAAUCAUAAAUUAGCAUAUUAUUUUAGUUCUUUAAUAAAUAAAAUCAAAAAAAUAUUAAACAAAAUCUCCUCCUCCAUUGGCCAAGACCCACAUGGCCUUGUUUCUAUCCCCAUGAAUAAGAAUGACCCCCAACAGAUAUAUGGUCUUCCAUCCACUGCCAUAUCACGACAAGAAGGGACAGCUGAAAAAAAACUGUAAGAAAAAGAAAAAGAGAAAAAGAUGAAAAAGAACAAAAAAGAAAAGGGAGAUUCCUCUCUCAACAAAAAGAAAAUCUCCACUAACCCUCUCGAUGGACUAACAACUUUUUCCUACACUUGAUACAUAUACUUCUUUCUCCUCACCCACCACCAAGGGAUGCCAACGACUUUUCCUCUCUCUCACAGUAAACCAUCAGUUC